RNAcentral lists this ribosomal RNA (253 nucleotides) under uncultured bacterium. RNAcentral's name for it is "partial 16S ribosomal RNA". It matches the Rfam family "Bacterial small subunit ribosomal RNA", at positions 524 to 776 of the family's 1533-position model. The record is from RNAcentral.
UACAGAGGUCUCAAGCGUUGUUCGGAUUCAUUGGGCGUAAAGGGUGCGUAGGCGGCGCGGUAAGUCGGGUGUGAAAUCUCGGAGCUUAACUCCGAAACUGCAUUCGAUACUGCCGUGCUUGAGGACUGGAGAGGAGACUGGAAUUUACGGUGUAGCGGUGAAAUGCGUAGAUAUCUGGAGGAAUACCGGUGGCGAAGGCGGCAUCCUGGACCGACAUCGACGCUGAGGAGCGAAAGCCAGGGGAGCAAACGGG